This 85-nucleotide small RNA is filed under the name Spermophilus dauricus (Daurian ground squirrel). RNAcentral describes it as "TUC338 (ENSSDAG00000008337.1)". Lineage: Eukaryota; Metazoa; Chordata; Mammalia; Rodentia; Sciuridae. The record is from RNAcentral.
CAGAUGAGCAGGCAUCCACAGUGUGAGCUUUCCCACAUCGCCAGGACCAUGUGUCUCAAUCCUGACCUGGAGGGACCACCCCUAG